This is an RNA transcript of Ahaetulla prasina, 7201 nucleotides long. It is a transcript of the gene named ring finger protein 217, with no coding region annotated. The record is from RefSeq and is a predicted model, not a curated record. The transcript has 7 exons. NCBI's taxonomy places the organism in Eukaryota, Metazoa, Chordata, Lepidosauria, Squamata, Colubridae.
GGAAGGUAGGUAAUACGAGGCGGUGUGUCGUGCGCGCGCGGCGCGGGGGCGGAGCUAUUCCUCUUUGAACUCGGCGAGCCGAAGCAGGAGGAGGCGGUGCCGCGUUGGGGCGUCGGGCCCUCGGCGCGGAGAGCUGCGAAGCGGCUGCUGCUCCUCCGGGUUUCCUUUUGCCAAGGGGGUCCCGACGGUCGCCUCUGGAAGGAGUUUUUUUUUUCUUCCACCCCGCCCCGCCCCCCGCGGUUUGGAUGCGAAGGCCAGUUCCGGCUUGGGAACUGGAUGGGAAGCAGCUUCAGCGAGGGUGGCUGCAGGGGCGGCGGGCAUGGGGGAGCGUCUUAGCACGGCGAGCUCUCCGCCGGAGCCAGACGGAGCCGCCGCCCCCGAGCCGCGUCUCCCGACCACUGGGACUCAACCUCCGCUCCCCACAGUCAGUGGAAGGACACCAAGGCCACAGCAAGAGGACGAUGCUGGACCGCCGCCGGCUGAACCGCAAGGCCAGGAGGCCGGCAACGGCGGCGGGGCUCCCUUGGAAGAGGGUCCACGCUCGGAAGCACCAAGUAGCAACAGCUGCCGGCUUCCUUUGAGGCCCGUCUCCCGUGCGGAGAGCGAGCAGUCCCACGACGGCCCGCCGCCGCCGCCUUCUCCUCCUCCUCCUCCUACUCCAGGAGAAGAGGGCCGACAAGAGGACCCCCAGCCCGCCGUCUCGCCGCCGCCCUCCCAGCCAAGCGUAGUGGGAGCCGGAGGAAAAGGGAUCCCUUCCGGCCACGUCGAGGUUGACCUGUAUCUUCUGCCCGAAUCUUUCUCCGGGCUGAUCUCCGGGGACUUCGGGACCCUCCUGGUGCUGUCUUGCCGCGUCUGUCUGGAAGAGAAGCCCCUGAAGCCGCUGCCGUGUUGCAAGAAGCCCGUCUGCGAAGCGUGCCUCAAGCGCUAUCUCAGCUCCCAAGUGCAGGUGGGGCAAGCAGAUAUCCCAUGUCCGAUUACAGAGUGCAGUGAACAUCUGGAUGAAACCACCAUCCUCUUCAACUUGCCACAUGAUGACAUCAUCAAAUAUAAAUACUUCCUGGAACUUGGCCGUAUCGGCUCAAGCACCAAGCCAUGCCCUCAAUGCAAGCACUUUACAACCUUCAAGAGGAAAGGUCAUAUCCCGACCCCUACCAAAAUGGAGAACAAGUACAAAAUCCAGUGCCCAACCUGCCAAUUUGUGUGGUGUUUUAAGUGCCACUCUCCUUGGCACGAAGGUGUCAACUGCAAAGAGUUUAAAAAGGGAGACAAACUGCUACGUCACUGGGCCAGUGAAAUUGAACAUGGGCAAAGAAAUGCUCAAAAAUGUCCAAAAUGCAAGAUUCAUAUUCAGAGAACAGAAGGCUGUGAUCAUAUGACUUGCUCACAAUGCAACACUAACUUCUGUUACCGCUGUGGGGAGAGAUAUCGCCAGCUUCGUUUCUUUGGAGAUCACACAUCAAACCUCAGUGUUUUUGGAUGCAAAUACCGCUACCUCCCUGAAAGUCCACAUUUAAGGAGAUUAGUGAGAGGCUCCGUCUGUGGUGGGAAGUUACUUAUUGCACCAGUAAUACUGGUUUUGGGACUGGUAGUAGGAGCUGUAGUUGUUCUAAUAGAUUUAGUUGAAACUGCUAUCUUCUUCCUACCAUUAUAUGAAAGUAAAUUUUUAAAAAGUCACAAGAGUUAGAAUAAAUAAAUUCAGCAGGAACCAUUGAAAACACUAGCAAACAGCACAUUGUAAAAUUCUCUUCCGAAUAUCAGAAGCUAAGUCACAGUUUAUUUGUGUUCCCCAUCUAUUGCCUUUGUAAAAAGAAGAAGAAAAGACCACAAACUGAAAUGCCCUGGUACGAGUGAAGAGUUGUGCAUUUGAAUGGAGCUGAUCCUGCAAGGCUUAUGCAAAAUGACAACAACACAGCAAUAAUGUGUUGGUUAACUAUCUCGAUAUCACAGCCCUGGCAGAUAUUAGGGGCCAUCUGCCAUAUUCUUAUUGCACUGUACACUACUAAAGACAAGCCAGAAUUCUGCUCAGACCUGGGACCCCAGAAGUUUUGUUUUGUUUUUUUUAAACUCCCAACCCAACUGCCUAAGGUUUAAUUCAGCUCUUCCUUCUUGAACAGCUUAUAUCUGCACUGUAAAUGCCUAUCUACUGAUGAGCUCAUGAAAGAAGUAUAUAAUUCAGCAACAUUUUCCCAAGUUAUUGACAAUAAUUCUGGCACUUUUACAGAAACAAUUCGAGUGAAGGUGAUUUCUCUUCAGAGAUUGGUUUCAUGCUGGCAGUUGAUUAAAAGUAUUGUGUUAAAUGAUAACUAUGGUCAUCAACAGUAUGAUGGUUGGAUCCAUUUGGUGGUGAAUGCAAUAAUUGUCUUAGAUGUGAAAUUUUGCGUAAUAAUGAACCAUAUUAGCUGUUGACAGAUAUCCAGAAUAGAAAUGAGAAAUGAUUAGAACAGCAUCAAUAUCUCAUAUUUUACUACUGUUUAAAAAGUUGGAAAAAUUAGCUUGGAUGUUUGGGAGAUAAUGUCAUCCAUUUAUUGUGUUUUGAAUUGUAUAAGCAAUUCACUGUGUCUAACCUAAUUAGAGAAAGACAAAAACCUGUUCUUUAUGGUUAUUCUGUAGUGUCUGAUGCAAUGCAAGCUUUGUUAUACAUAUCCACACUGCAAGACAGUAGCAUGAUCAUAACCUAGUAUGCCACAGAAAUCAAGAUGUUUUGAAGAGCUAGGAAAUGAAAUAAUCUUCUUUCAGAUAGUUCUUCACAGUGUUCAGCAAAGUCCAUUAUAGAAAGUAACACUUUGCUCUGAAGAAACCAACAUAUAUUACAUUUCCACCAAACUGUAUCAGUUUGUCUAAAACUGUUUCCGGUUCUUCACUAGGAACAUCUAGGAAUGUCUGUAGUUUCAGAAAAGGUUCUUAAUAUAAGGCCAAUUAAAACACAGUGCCAGUUGGUCUGGUUCUUCAUAAUGGCGAAGAGAAGAUGUGGACCUUACUGAUUAGUCUGCCAUAUUAUGAUUCAUCCCUAAAAGUUGGGAAGGAUCAUGACCACCAAGUGAAACUUCCUAUGUUUUUGUAUAGACUCAGCAUGCUCAUGCUUCUCUACAGUUCUCUGGUGUUCACCAAGUGUCAUAAAGUAGGUUAUUAUAUACCUAAAUUGACCCAUAUACACAUACUGAAUAUAAGUGAUUGAGUUAAAAGAUUACCAGUAAAAUUUUUAAAAGCUAUUACAACAAAAUUGAAUGUUUGACUUCAAGAGCUGUUAGCCGAAUAACAUUUUGUUUUUCUUGUUGGUUUGCUUUUAAAAUAAUAACCAUUUAUUGGAUUUAAAAUUUAAAAAUGAUAAUAGGCUAAAAGGUUUAGGAAUAAAAAUGAUCAAGGAUAUUUUUUUUAAAGUUUUUCUGUUUUGUCCAGGGUAACAUAGAAGAGAAUGUUGGGGAAAGGGGGAACAUGGUAUGCAGUUAGUCCUUAGGAACUGAAUUUUAAAAGUGUCCUUUAAGUCACUGAAGUAGUUCUACAGUGAGAGGAAGGACUUUCCCUCAUUGAAGACCUGCUGCAGCUCAAGUGCAAUCUCUCUCUCUCUCUCUCUCUUUCUUUCUCUCUCAUGGCUUGGGUGAGAGAGGCCAAAUCACCUUUUCCAUUUCCAUGAGUCAGUGUUGAGACUUCCGUUUGCAUUCUAUGGACAGCAUGAUUCAGCCUGAGGUAUUAAUACUUCUUUCACUAUUGGAGAUCCUUAAAAAAGUAAGACAGUAUUACUGAAAAUGGCUAUUUUGCAAAUUGUUUGUUCGUGAAUUCAGUCUAUAAUCAUGCUAAUAGGCUCCAUGCAUUGCACAGGAAAGGAACAUGUACGCAUUUUAGCAAAACUUCUUAAGUGGAACAGUUUGUAUAAAAUCAACUGUAGUAUAUAAUCUGGAUUCAUUGUCUGGCCUGUUGAAGUAAACUAAUGUCUCUAAUUUGUUAAAUAUGUUCACUUUAAAUUCUGUUUUGCAUCAGUCAUUUUCUAUUAACCCCAAAUAAUACCCAUAUUUACUACUGCCUUUUUUAUCCAUUAAAAUUAAACUGAUUUUGGGGAGUCACUAGGGAGACGUUGCAUUUUAACAUAAUUUUUAUUUAUUAAAAAAUAAGAUUUGAUAUGUUGAAAUUAACUGCCUUUAAAUUAGUUAGAACUAUUUUAGACAGUGGUGGGAUUCAGCCAGUUCGCACCACUUUGGGAGAACCGGUUGUUAACUUUCUGAACAGUUUGGCAAACUGGUUGUUGGAAGAAAUCAUUAGGGCAGAGAACCGGUUGUUAAAUUACUUGAAUCCCACCACUGAUUUUAGAUAAUUUAAUUUCAAGGGUCUGCUGUUAACAUAAAUCUGCAUUCAACUAUAUAUCAUUAAUAUGUUUUUAGCUUAAUGUGUUUUUCUUUUAUUGUGUUUUUCAAAGUUGAAUGCUGCCUUAAGAAACUUUUUUUUAAAAAACGAUUGUAUACUUAAUCCCAAAUAAUUGUUUUCUCAGGCCAAACGUAUCUAUUGUCUUUGAUUUACUCAGGGAUUUUAGUCCUUCCUUAUAAUGUCAGAUGCUAUUGUGAAAACAUUUUUGUAUUACUAACAUUCAGACACCCAAGUUAUGAUUGGAUUUGAUGUUUAUAGUGCGGAAUACAUUAAAGCAAUGUCCAGGCUUCCAUUUGAUUUAAGAAUUAUCUUUUUCUGCAAUGCUUCCAUAUUUUCCCCCUUCUUUUAUCCUUGUGAAACAUACUGCCUAUAUAGCAGUUCUUGGAUUUUGUCUAGAAACCUUCGUAUGUAAAAGCAAAUUAUGUGCAAAGAUAAAUGCUUAUCAGCUAGCCCAUUUGUCUAGAAUACAAUAUCAGUACAAUUGACAGAGAUAACAAUCAAUGAUUUUGUGUAAGAUUCUGCAUUUGAACAAUCAGAGUGGACCCUUAUGAAAUGCUGCAGUCUUUUUCAUUCAUGUUUGCACAUUUGGGACCACAUAAGAUAAUCUCAUUUAUGGAAACCGAACAUUCUAUAAGUGGAUUACUUUUGCUGGAUAAAAUGCAAGUGUUUUCCUUUUUUUAAAAAAAAUGGCAUCUUGGAUAUAAAUUGGGUGGUAUUGAAAAAGUUGAUAUAUUAAAAUAAAAAACACAAAUAUGUAUGCAUAUUAUGCCUGUAAGAAAUUUAAAAUUGAAGCUUUAUUCCCAUUCUAAUUCUUAACUUUUAACACUAAACUUACUGCUUGAAGAAAUAUUUCCGUCAAAUCCUGUAGUUAUUCUUAUUUUAGUAAAUUCACCCCAAAAUGAAAUUAUACUAUCCCAUUAAAAAAACAUAUGCACUAGCUUUCUAUAAAGUGUUUAUUAAAGAUUAAUCUUUACAAAUUGUAUUUCAGUCAGCCUUAACUAUAUAUCUGUGAACAUGUUCAGCUUAACAAUCAUUGAAUAAUUAUGGAUUGUUUCUGGAAGAAAAUUGUAUUUUUCUGAAUUGUUUUUUGACUAUUAUAAAUAUUGUGUUUCUCUUUCACAAUUUCUGGCUUGAUCUUUGGUGCUUUUCUGAGAAAAGUUACUCCAGUUUAAAUUACUUUUGUCCCCAAUGUCUCUAGUCUUUUCUUAUUUAUAGUAAGGAAGUCAUCUUUAAUAUUUUUAUUUAUAUAAUGUAACUUUAUCAAAGCAAAAGACUUGAAAUAUUUAAAUUAUUUAAAAGUUUCCUUUUUAGGAUAUAAUUCUUCUUUAAUUUGACAGUGAAAAAUAGAAAAGCUUGAAUGAUAUUGUGCCACUCAAGUAUUUAUUCUAAGAUCCUGAUUGCUAUAUAACUAAAUAUGUCAACCCCAGGAAGAUUAGAUUAUACAGCGCUUUUUAAAUAUAUAUAUUUGCCAAAUAGAAUUGUAUUUGCAUUUAAAGUAAAAUACUAAAUUGCAUGAGGAUUUCAUCUUAAUGGAGAAAUUACUAACAUUCUGGCUCCAUUUGAUAUUUAGCUUGUGUAUGGUUUCAGCAAAUAGGCUUUCUCUGAUUAUAACAAACUAUUGUGCUACUUUUGGACAUUUUCAGUAAAUGAAGUUACCGUAUAAAAACCAUAAUCAUAAUGCAGUGCAGUUCUUGGCUACAUAUUGGCUAGUUCUGUAUUUCUAGAGCACUUUCUUUAGAACUAUUCAUUUAAUGCGUUGUCUAUAUUAAAGUAAUGAAUAGAUUUUUAAAAAAAAUAAGAUGUUGUAACCACGUAACACUACUGCCAUUUCUGGUGCAGCUUUACUAAGAUAUUCAGUGAAUUAUAAAAAAUAUGAUCUUGCUUUAGGUGGCAUGAUGGUUGAUAACUGUAUUGAUGCUUGCCUGCUUUUUUUCUAAAGAUGACGCCAUUCAAAGUUUUUGUUAAAAACAGAGAAAGCUGCCCUGUAAUUUGAUGGAUCUGACAUACUGAAAAAAGCAGGUGAAAUUAUUGAACACAUUUUGUUUUACAUGAUGUUAAUCUAUGAAAAUACGUCAGGUAACCUUUUCUUAAAAUAUACAAUUGUAUCCCAUCCAUUUAUACUUCUCUACAGCAGUGCUGAUUUACGCCUUUAAAGGCUGUAAUUGUGUUGUCUUUCUGAAUGUGUCUUAGUAUUAGCAAAAUACGCUAGAAAAGAAAACCCUCCAUGACAUGCAAAGUAAUUCUGUGGCAUCAGAUCUGAUAGUAUUGAUCAACUCUCUCUCAUGGGAGGAGAUCACUUCAUUUCCCAUCAAGAGAUGUCAACUGUGUAAGUUGUUGCUUUACCCAUUUGCUUUUCUGAGGUGUAUUUUGUAUGGCAGUAGGAUCUGAAUACAGAAUUUUGAAAACUGUAGAGUACUAAUUAUUACUAAGUACAUAGAACAUUAAUUUACACUUGCAGUCAUAUACAGAAGUUUCAAGGACAAAGGAAUGAAUAUGUCUUUUUUUUCCCCUCUGUGGCAUUCAUAAUCUUUUUAAUGCAUUGCCAAUGUUACGUGCUAACUUCAUAGCUUCUCUGUUUGUGUAACAUUUCCAAAUAAGUUGCAUAUGAAAUCCUGACUAUGUGAGAAGGCAAGGUGGUUUGUUUGUUUUAAUUUAUUUAAACAACCUAGUAUAUGUUAUAAUUACACUUGGAACUAUAUGUACUUUUGUGCUGUAAUAGACUUUGAUUUAUAAAAAUCAUAAACAAUAUUUCUGAAAGGAAGUGGUGGACUAAUUGACACACAAUAAAUCUGAAACCGUACUUCUUAUGGUAAAAAUAAAAUAAAAACAUCUGUGUUCUCCUCUG